Molecule: long non-coding RNA, 3408 nt
Filed under: Nicotiana benthamiana
Lineage: Eukaryota; Viridiplantae; Streptophyta; Magnoliopsida; Solanales; Solanaceae
Description: long non-coding RNA (NBEN_LNC021806)
Source: RNAcentral
UUUGUGGGACUAUACUAGGUAGUUGUUGUUGUUGUUGUUACACUAGCCACUCAGUCCUCCUUCUUUAUCCAUUCUUAGGAGCGGUAACUGAUAUUGAGAAUUCAGGGAUCUUAGUGUAAGCUAUUUAUUGACUAGUUUUGCACUGGCCACCUGAUCCUCCUCCUUCAUCCAUUCUUGAGGAGGCAACUAGUUUGGGCUUGAAGAGCAGUAGUAGUUAUUAUUGUUGUAUUGUCAAUGAUACUGACAGUGGCAGAGGCAAGAUUUCUGCUAAGGGGUUCAAAAACAAAGAAAGUUAAAAAAGAUUGUAGCUAGUGAGAAUUGAAUGUUCUGAAUCCCCUUGACGACUAAGCUAUGCUUUUGGGAUGUGUCAAGGGGAUUCAAAACAUAAUAUAUAGAGGUAAAAAUAAAAGUUUUCCUUAUAUGUAUAGUGUAAUUUUUGCCCCCCUAAAUCCGCCCUUGGCUGCUGAUGUCCUUCUCAUCACACAUGAUUAUCUCGCUUGCCUCAGUUUGUCCAACACCUUUAGGUUUAGGUCUUCCUUAGGCUCAUUCAGUGCACCAAAGCAUGCAUAAGUUCCAAGAAAGGGAGGGGGCGGAUGGAAUUUCACUCUUUUUCAGGAGAGCUGCAUCCAAAAUGGUGUCAAUUGGUAAUAGAAUAUAGCUAGAUAAUUGAUGCCGCAACAUCCAAAAUAUGUCGGAUGAUUUCAUGGUACACAGUAUUUUAUCAAGGAAAUAGUUAUAUAAAAUUAUCCCUUUUUUCUUCAAUUUACUCCACCUAGAUUGGAAUAUAACAAUUCCUCUGCGCAAUGUUAUAUAGCUACAAUGAGGCCUUCCUUUCUCUGUCUUUGUGGUGAGGUUUUUAAUAGAAGUCAUGGUGUUGCCUUUCAAAAUAGGGUUAUCUAUUUGCUGGGCACCAUUGAAGUCUGUAUUGACGUUUUAAACCGAUUUGUUAGAUUGGAUUGCAUCACUAUAUAUCAAAAUGCUGUCAAAGGUAAAAACUGUAAAUAUAAUGUUUUCAGUUCGUAAUAUCUUUCUACUAGUGGAUUAAACUUCUGCUCUUCAGCUUGCUGAUAAUGAGGCCUGAUCAUGGUAGGGAAUCAGUUUCAAAAGUAUAUGUUUUUAUUGGUUUCUAAAUUGAACUAAAUGAACUUUUCCUUGCCAAGUUUUGGCCUCAAAGUAGGAGUAGUCUUUUGAGUUCUAGUGCUCCUUGCAUAGUGAUACACUCGUUGGUGACAGAACCCUUAGGCGUGAAAUUUCACAGGUCAAAGCGAUAACAUUUAGCUUGGGACUGAACUCCACAAUGGAUUCUGGUGACCCAGCCCAUGAGAACAACAACAACAACUAUUACCCAGUAUAGUCUCACAAAGUGAGGUCUGGUGAGGGUAAUAUGUAGACGAGCCUUACCCCUACCCGAAAGGGCAGAGAGGCUGUUUAUCAUCUAUGGAUUGCCCUGCCAAGCCUCACCCAACCCCGGGUGAGGAGUACGAAAAACUCUAGGAGCCCCUAUCCUACGACUCUGUUACUAGACCUCCAGACUUUCCUAUCAAAGGCCAUGUGCUCGGAAACCUAGCCAUGUCAUGCCUAAUCACCUCUCCCCAAUACCUCUUAGGCCUCCCUCUGCCUCGCCGAACGCCUACAACCGCCAGCAGCUCACAACUCCUCACUGGGGCAUCAGGACUUCUCCUUCGCACAUGCCCGAACCACCUCAGCCUCGCUUCUCGCAUCUUCUCAUCCACUGGGGCCACCCCCACCGUCUCUCGAAUAACUUCAUUCUUAAUCUUAUCUAACCUGGUGAGCCCACACAUCCACCUGAGCAUCCUCAUCUCCUAAACCUUCAUUCUCUGAACAUAAGAGUUCUUCACUGGCCAGCACUCCGCCCCAUCAACAUGGCAGGUCUAACCACAACUCUAUAAAAUUUCCCUUUGAGUUUCUGUGGAACUUUCUUGUCACACAGGACUCCUGAUGCAAGCCUCCACUUUGACCACCCCGCUCCUAUACGUUGAGUGACGUCCCCGUCAAUCUCUCCGCCCCUGAAUCACCGACCAAGAUAUCUGACACUGUCCCUCUUGGCGAUGGCCUGAGAUCCAAUCAUCACGUCCUUGCCUCCUUCACUCGGCUCGGCGCUAAACUUGCACUCCAGGUAUUCUGUCUUAGAUCUGCUUAUUUUGANNNNNNNNNNNNNNNNNNNNNNNNNNNNNNNNNNNNNNNNNNNNNNNNNNNNNNNNNNNNNNNNNNNNNNNNNNNNNNCGGCCCGACGCUAAACUUACACUCUAGGUAUUCAGUCUUAGAUCUGCUUAUUUUGAAACCCUUGGACUCGAGUGUCUGUCUCCAUACUUCUAACCUCUCAAUAACACCGACCCUCGUCUCGUCUAUCAAGACUAUGUCGUCAGCAAAUAGCAUACACCAAGGCACAUCCCCUUGAAUAUGUCGUGUUAUAGCAUCCAUCACCAAGGCAAACAAGAGAGGGCUAAGCUCUGAUCCUUGAUGGAGCCCCAUAACAACUGGAACAAAAUGGUGAAUUGCAGAAGUAAUCUCUUGGAAAUCCUGGUGAGAUAACUCUGAUGCCUUAGUUAGUUGCAGGCAGUAAGAUGUUUCCCGGGGAAGAAAAGAGAGGGAAAUAUCUGAUGAAUGGUUACCUUCAGUAGGGCUUGCAUGAAGUAUAUAUAAGGGACUAAUACAAACUGUGCAAGAUUCGUUACUAUCUUUGUUGAUCGGUUGUGUAGCUGGUUAGGCGGAUAUGUAAGUAAACCGAUCGUGUCAUCCCAACAUUUAGGCGGAUAUGUAACCGAUCAUGAUAGCAUCAAGCAUGUUCUUGCACAAAUGAUGUUAAGACAACAAUUUAUCCCUCAUGUUCAUGGAUGUUUGGUAUUUGUGGAAACUGUAGCUGUGAUAAUGAGUUGGUUAAUGGAAUUCCUUUUCCUGGAAUUCUAGAAAGUUGAAUUUUUGGAGGGAAAAGCUGGCCACUGUUGAAUUGUACAAAGACAGAGGAAGUCUCAGCAAUAAAUCUAAAUCUGUGCUCUUUGGAAAACUCUAGUUUAUUCCUUUCGCGGGGCCCGACAGAUGCAGUCCCUAUCUUCAUCUGUGCAGUAACAUACACCAGAUGUAAUACUCAGGAACUAGGAUUAUACAUUUCUGUUUGCCUUUCAUAAGUUAAUAUUGGGGAUAAUUUCUCUAUUCUUGUCCUUAUCUUUACUGCAUGAUGUAGCCUUUCAGGAUUACUACGUUUGAUUGUAUUGAAGUUUUCUAAUGCUACCUUGUGAAAAUGGGAGACGUCUUCUACUGAAGUUAGGAUUUUGGAUAGUGUUUGUGUUCAAAUUCUUUGACUUGGAUUCAGACAUUUCUUCUCUUAUUAGAAUGUGUUCCUCCUUUACUCACAUCCCAGGAUUGUGUGUUUUAUUUUGAUUGGUUCUC